AUUGAACGCUGGCGGCAGGCCUAACACAUGCAAGUCGAACGAGUGGCGGACGGGUGAGUAAUGUCUGGUAAACUGCCCGAUGGAGGGGGAUAACUACUGGAAACGGUAGCUAAUACCGCAUACCAUCUGAUGUGCCCAGAUGGGAUUAGCUAGUAGGGGGGGUAACGGCUCACCUAGGCGACGAUCCCUAGCUGGUCUGAGAGGAUGACCGGCAACACUGGAACUGAGCAACGGUCCAGUCUCCUACGGGAGGCAGAAGUGGGGAAUAUUGCACAAUGGGCGCAGGCCUGAGACAGCCAUGCCGCGGGGAUGAAGAAGGCCUUCGGGUUGUAAAGUACUUUCAGCGAGGAGGCGUUACUCGAAGAAGAAGCACCGGCUAACUCCGUGCCAGCCGCCGCGGUAAUUC
RNAcentral lists this ribosomal RNA (406 nucleotides) under uncultured bacterium. Its description in RNAcentral is "partial 16S ribosomal RNA". It matches the Rfam family "Bacterial small subunit ribosomal RNA", at positions 30 to 526 of the family's 1533-position model. The record is from RNAcentral.